This 846-nucleotide ribosomal RNA is filed under the name uncultured Actinomycetes bacterium. RNAcentral describes it as "bacterial SSU rRNA". It matches the Rfam family "Bacterial small subunit ribosomal RNA", at positions 1 to 861 of the family's 1533-position model. The record is from RNAcentral. Lineage: Bacteria; Bacillati; Actinomycetota; Actinomycetes.
AUUAGAAGAUCAUGGCUCAGGACGAACGUUGGCGGUGCGCUUAAUGCAUGCAAGUCGAGGGAGAACCAUUCGUUUCGUAAGAUCCGGAUGGGGAAACCGGCGAACGGGUGCGUAACACGUGAGGAACCUGCCCCGAAGACCGGGAUAGCCCGGGGAAACCCGGAUUAAUACCGGAUACCCUCAUCGGACCGCAUGGUCUGAUGAGGAAAUGGUCAGCCGCUUCAUGGCCUCGCGGUCUAUCAGCUUGUUGGUGAGGUAACGGCUCACCAAGGCUAAGACGGGUAGCUGGUCUGAGAGGACGAUCAGCCACACUGGGACUGAGACACGGCCCAGACUCCUACGGGAGGCAGCAGCAGGGAAUAUUGCACAAUGGGCGAAAGCCUGAUGCAGCGACACCGCGUGCGGGAUGAAGGCCUUCGGGUUGUAAACCGCUUUCAGGAGGGACGAAAAUGACGGUACCUCCAGAAGAAGGCCCGGCCAACUACGUGCCAGCAGCCGCGGUAACACGUAGGGGCCAAACGUUGUCCGGAUUUAUUGGGCGUAAAGGGCUCGUAGGCGGUUCAACGAGUCGGUCGUGAAAACCCGGGGCUCAACCCCGGGACGCCGGUCGAAACUGUUGUGACUAGGGUCCGGUAGAGGUGAGUGGAAUUCACGGUGUAGCGGUGGAAUGCGCAGAUAUCGAGAGGAACACCAGUUGCGAAGGCGGCUCACUGGGCCGGUACCGACGCUAAGGAGCGAAAGCAUGGGGAGCAAACAGGAUUAGAUACCCUGGUAGUCCUUGCCGUAAACUGUGAACACUAGGUGUGGCGGAUCUAUUGAUGUCUGCCGUACCGUAGCUAAUACGGC